This 45-nucleotide non-coding RNA is filed under the name Schistosoma haematobium. Lineage: Eukaryota; Metazoa; Platyhelminthes; Trematoda; Strigeidida; Schistosomatidae. The record is from RNAcentral.
AUCCAGCUGACGAGCCCCGAGCGGGACGAAACGCGCGUUGUGGAU